CAAGUUGGAAUAUUUUCUUUAGUAAACCUGCUGUUUUGCGUUCCCGUUUGCAGCUUGUCGUUCUCGGAAGACUUUUGCUGAAAAAUAUCAGAGCUCGCAGGGGGGCACCCUGGACCCGCACCUCCAUCUCCCUCCCACCGAAUCAGCUUUAAAGCGCUAUGAUUGAGCAACAGGUCAAAGAAACACCCCAACGUUAAAGCGAGAUCAGUGUACGGCGACAAUCCUGUCUAUUAACAGCAGUUUUUGUUACAAAAAAAAUAAACCGAUACCAUCCAUUGCUUAAAGAAUAAACAGCUACGGAUAUUACCGUCCACCAUCUAGUUACCUUUCAGAACAUUUCCAGCUUUCUUCCUAUACAUUGUCAAAUGGAGGCUGAGGCUUAUGCCAGGCAUCACAGGGCACAAGGCAGGAGACACUCUGGAUGGGAUACCAGUCCAUCACAGGACACAAGGCAGGGGACACCCUGAAUGGAAUGCCAGUUUAUCACAGUGUGCAUACACACACACACACAGAUCUGGCCGAGAAAAAAAGGAAGUAGAAGGAAAAAAAGUGAGUUGCUGCAGUGUUUCCUGUGAGAGAGGAAGAAGGAAGUGGCUGGUGGAGGGAGAUUCUGGAGUCUGCUCCCUCAAAACAAUAAAAAUCUUACUUGUGAAGGAAACGGACCUGCGUCAAAGGGGACCUGACAGAGUGUUUGAAAGGCCGGCAGCAAUGACCCAGCGGGCACAUGAGCAUAUGAUUGUUUGCCUGAAGUCUUUAGUCCAGCUCUCUGCACUCCCACAGAGCACAAAGACCACUUCUGUCAUUUAAAAACAAUAGCCACUGCAAAAGGAGAUUUGUUGUAAGGUUUACAUUAUUGGAAUAUUUUAUUUUUGGUAAGAAAUAAAUUUUAAAUAUGGCAUCUUCCCAUUGUGAAAA
Molecule: long non-coding RNA, 915 nt
Organism: Brienomyrus brachyistius
Lineage: Eukaryota; Metazoa; Chordata; Actinopteri; Osteoglossiformes; Mormyridae
Exons: 3
Source: RefSeq, a predicted model, not a curated record